Molecule: ribosomal RNA, 467 nt
Filed under: uncultured bacterium
Lineage: Bacteria
Description: bacterial SSU rRNA
Rfam family: Bacterial small subunit ribosomal RNA
Source: RNAcentral
GGGCCAGACUCCUACGGGAGGCAGCAGUGAGGAAUAUUGGUCAAUGGGCUUACGCCUGAACCAGCCAAGUCGCGUGAGGGAAGACUGCCCUAUGGGUUGUAAACCUCUUUUGUCAGGGAGCAACGCCGGCUACGUGUAGCCGGACUGAGAGUACCUGAAGAAAAAGCAUCGGCUAACUCCGUGCCAGCAGCCGCGGUAAUACGGAGGAUGCGAGCGUUAUCCGGAUUUAUUGGGUUUAAAGGGUGCGUAGGCGGAAUGCCAAGUCAGCGGUAAAAUCGGGGGGCUCAACCUCGCUCCGCCGUUGAAACUGGCGUUCUUGAGUGGGCGAGAAGUAUGCGGAAUGCGUGGUGUAGCGGUGAAAUGCAUAGAUAUCGCGCAGAACUCCGAUUGCGAAGGCAGCAUGCCGGCUCCAGACUGACGCUGAGGCACGAAAGCGUGGGGAUCGAACAGGAUUAGAUACCCUUGUA